AUUGAACGCUGGCGGCAUGCUUUACACAUGCAAGUCGAACGGUAACAGGCGGCAAGUUGCUGACUAGUGGUGAACGGGUGAGUAAUGCAUCCGAACGUGCCCAGUCGUGGGGGAUAACUACUCGCAAGAGUAGCUAAUACCGCAUACGAUCUAUUGAUUAAAACGGGGGACCGUAAGGCUUCGCGCGGUUCUUGCGGCCGAUGUCAGAUUAGUUAGUUGGUAGGGUAAAGGCUCACCAAGGCAACGAUCUGUAGCUGAUCUGAGAGGACGACCAGCCACACUGGAACUGAGACACGGCCCAGACUCCUACGGGAGGCAGCAGUGGGGAAUUUUGGACAAUGGGCGCAAGCCUGAUCCAGCAAUGCCGCGUGCAGGAAGAAGGUCUUCGGGUUGUAAACUGCUUUUAUACGGGAAGAAACGGCUCUGGUUAAUACCCGGGGCUAAUGACGGUACCGUAAGAAUAAGCACCGGCUAACUACGUG
This 482-nucleotide ribosomal RNA is filed under the name uncultured bacterium. Its description in RNAcentral is "partial 16S ribosomal RNA". It matches the Rfam family "Bacterial small subunit ribosomal RNA", at positions 30 to 507 of the family's 1533-position model. The record is from RNAcentral.